AACGAACGCUGGCGGCAUGCCUAGCACAUGCAAGUCGAACGAGACCUUCGGGUCUAGUGGCGCACGGGUGCGUAACGCGUGGGAACCUGCCCUUAGGUUCGGAAUAACUCCCCGAAAGGGGUGCUAAUACCGGAUAAUGUCUUCGGACCAAAGAUUUAUCGCCUUUGGAUGGGCCCGCGUUGGAUUAGCUAGUUGGUAGGGUAAAAGCCUACCAAGGCGACGAUCCAUAGCUGGUCUGAGAGGAUGGUCAGCCACACUUGGACUGAGACACGGCCCCGACUCCUACGGGAGGCAGCAGUGGGGAAUAUUGGACAAUGGGCGAAAGCCUGAUCCAGCAAUGCCGCGUGAGUGAUGAAGGCCUUAGGGUUGUAAAGCUCUUUUACCCGGGAUGAUAAUGACAGUACCGGGAGAAUAAGCUCCGGCUAACUCCGUG
RNAcentral lists this ribosomal RNA (433 nucleotides) under uncultured bacterium. RNAcentral's name for it is "partial 16S ribosomal RNA". It matches the Rfam family "Bacterial small subunit ribosomal RNA", at positions 29 to 507 of the family's 1533-position model. The record is from RNAcentral.